This 254-nucleotide ribosomal RNA is filed under the name uncultured bacterium. Its description in RNAcentral is "partial 16S ribosomal RNA". It matches the Rfam family "Bacterial small subunit ribosomal RNA", at positions 524 to 776 of the family's 1533-position model. The record is from RNAcentral.
CACGUAGGGGCCAAGCGUUGUCCGGAUUUAUUGGGCGUAAAGAGCUCGUAGGCGGUUGGGUAAGUCGGGUGUGAAAACUCCAGGCUUAACUUGGAGACGCUACCCGAUACUGCUCUGACUUGAGUUCGGUAGGGGAGUGGGGAAUUCCUGGUGUAGCGGUGAAAUGCGCAGAUAUCAGGAGGAACACCGGUGGCGAAGGCGCCACUCUGGGCCGAAACUGACGCUGAGGAGCGAAAGCGUGGGUAGCAAACAGG